Molecule: non-coding RNA, 743 nt
Filed under: Chaetocnema obesa
Lineage: Eukaryota; Metazoa; Arthropoda; Insecta; Coleoptera; Chrysomelidae
Source: RNAcentral
GUAAAAUUUUAUUUUAGUUUAAAAAUUGAAUGUUAUUUUCAAUUAUAUGUAAAAUUUUAUUUAAAAAUAGAUUGCAGUAAUUAAAGUUAAAUAUUCAAGAAAUUGAGAUUUAUGAAUAAUAAUUAAUAUAAACUAAGUUUGUGCCAGCAGUUGCGGUUAUACAAAUUAUGUAAUUUAAUUUUUAUUAAUUAUAAUUAAUUGUUAUUUAAAUUUUAAGUUUAAAUUUAUUAAGUGAAAUUUUAAAUUUAUAAAAAAUUUAUAUUAUUAAAUGUUUUAGUAAAUUUUAAUAAUAAACUAGGAUUAGAUACCCUAUUAUUUAAAAAUGUAAUUUUAAAAAUUUAAUUAGUAUUAGUUAUGUUCUUAAAAAUUAAAAAAUUUGGCGGUAUUUUAGUCUAUUUAGAGGAACCUGUUUUAUAAAUGAUAAUCCACGAUUUAAUUUACUUAUUUUAUUAGUUUAUAUAUCGUCGUAAUUAAAUAUUUUUUUAGAAUUUAAUAUUUAAGAAUUUUUAUUUAAAAAUAAAUCAGAUCAAGAUGUAAUUUAUAAAUAAGUAAAAAUGGGUUACAUUAAAUUUAUUUAAGGAUAAUAAUUAUUAUAGUUAUUUAAAUAUGGAUUUAAUAGUAAUUUAAAUAAAUUAAUUUAAAUGAUUUUAGCUCUAAAAUAUGUACAUAUUGCCCGUCGCUUUCAUUUAAAAUGGAAUAAGUCGUAACAAAGUAGAUUUACUGGAAAGUGAAUCUAGAAUCAA